GCUACCCAGUUUCACCCUUGGAAUUUGGACAUCGUCUUUCUCCGCCAUUCCUUUGCUGUAAUGUUCUUUGCAAAAUGUUCCCCGUUCUUUUCGGUUCGAAUAGUGAUUUGGUUCAAACUGAGGUUGGUGGGAGUGAGAAUGUGAGACAUCUUGGUGGGUCGAUUCCAACUGGGGUAGGUGAAUGUGAGACACCAUUGACCCUGACUAACAACAAUGAAAAGCAAACUGAGGUUGGUGGGAGUGAGAAUGUGAGACAUCUUGGUGGGUCGAUUCCAACUGGGGUAGGUGAAUGUGAGACACCAUUGACCCUGACUAACAACAAUGAAAAGCAAAAAUCUUGCACCAGCC
RNAcentral lists this long non-coding RNA (348 nucleotides) under Jatropha curcas. Its description in RNAcentral is "long non-coding RNA (JCUR_LNC003123)". Lineage: Eukaryota; Viridiplantae; Streptophyta; Magnoliopsida; Malpighiales; Euphorbiaceae. The record is from RNAcentral.